This 406-nucleotide ribosomal RNA is filed under the name obligately oligotrophic bacterium POCPN-2. RNAcentral describes it as "bacterial SSU rRNA". It matches the Rfam family "Bacterial small subunit ribosomal RNA", at positions 58 to 510 of the family's 1533-position model. The record is from RNAcentral.
CAAGUCGAACGAACCCUUCGGGGUGAGUGGCGCACGGGUGCGUAACGCGUGGGAACCUGCCUUUAGGUUCGGAAUAACAGUUAGAAAUGACUGCUAAUACCGGAUAAUGUCUUCGGACCAAAGAUUUAUCGCCUUUAGAUGGGCCCGCGUUAGAUUAGAUAGUUGGUGGGGUAAUGGCCUACCAAGUCGACGAUCUAUAGCUGGUCUGAGAGGAUGAUCAGCCACACUGGGACUGAGACACGGCCCAGACUCCUACGGGAGGCAGCAGUGGGGAAUAUUGGACAAUGGGCGAAAGCCUGAUCCAGCAAUGCCGCGUGAGUGAUGAAGGCCUUAGGGUUGUAAAGCUCUUUUACCAGGGAUGAUAAUGACAGUACCUGGAGAAUAAGCUCCGGCUGACUCCGAACCC